RNAcentral lists this transfer RNA (63 nucleotides) under Ergatettix serrifemora. RNAcentral describes it as "tRNA-Phe". The record is from RNAcentral. Lineage: Eukaryota; Metazoa; Arthropoda; Insecta; Orthoptera; Tetrigidae.
AUUUGAGUAGUUUAUUAGAACAUUGUGUUGAAGAUACAAAUGAAGAUUAUUAUCUCUUAAAUA